RNAcentral lists this ribosomal RNA (764 nucleotides) under Xiphinema brasiliense. Its description in RNAcentral is "eukaryotic LSU rRNA". It matches the Rfam family "Eukaryotic large subunit ribosomal RNA", at positions 373 to 928 of the family's 3401-position model. Lineage: Eukaryota; Metazoa; Nematoda; Enoplea; Dorylaimida; Longidoridae. The record is from RNAcentral.
ACUUUGAAGAGAGAGUUCAAAAGGGCGUGAAACCGCUUAGAAUAAAACGGACGGAGCCGUCUGAGGCCCAUCGGAAUCAGUCGAGUCGAUGCGCGAAAACGAGUGCGACGCGUAUACGGAACGCAAGUCCCGUCGUCUCGUGCUAGCGUUCGUUCGACGCAUUUCCGGAGGGUAAGCGCCGCGACCGAUGUCGAAGGCUGGCGAAGCCGGUAGAUUGAGGGCGAGCGCGUUUACGCGCGUCUCGUAACCAGUCCGGCGGUCGUCGCUAGACCCGAGCAUCGAGAGCUUACGAAUAGAACGCCGGUGAUCAUUUACGCUCGCCUAUCGCGACGGAAGUGCGACCGAUCGAUCGUCGCCUGCUCGCAGGUUACGGUUAGUAUCCGGUUCGUAUCCAAAGUCGUCGGCGACGUUUCGGCGUUUAGGCGUCCGCGGCGUCCGAGUCGGUCACCCGUCCGACCCGUCUUGAAACACGGACCAAGGAGUCUAACGUAAGCGCGAGCUAAUGGGUGGAAAACCUAUAAGCGCAAUAAAAGUAAAAGCCGUUUCGGACGGCCGAGGUACGAUCCCGGGGAUCGAUAUAUCCCUGGGCGCAGUACCGUCCCGUCCCGACCGCUCGUCGGUAGGGCGGAGAUAGAGUGCCUACGUUGGGACCCGAAAGAUGGUGAACUAUGCCUGAGCAGAGCGAAGCCAGAGGAAACUCUGGUGGAGGUUCGUAGCGGUUCUGACGUGCAAAUCGAUCGUCAGACUUGGGUAUAGGGGCGAAA